Molecule: long non-coding RNA, 596 nt
Organism: Mytilus californianus (California mussel)
Lineage: Eukaryota; Metazoa; Mollusca; Bivalvia; Mytilida; Mytilidae
Exons: 5
Source: RefSeq, a predicted model, not a curated record
ACAAAAGCCGUUAGGUGUAGCUGCUUCUGUCGUGAGCUCAAGUGAAAUAACAAUAACAUGGAAGAUGCCAUUACCAAGACCAGGGAAUACAACUUAUUAUAUUGAAGCUUAUGAAGUUGUUCUAAAUGCUCAACCUGCAUUUCUGAAAAUAACAAACGUAACUGGUUUUCAUACGAAGACAGCACAUUUGUUUGGAUUAGAGGCAUAUUGGAACUAUACGUUUUCAGUAGUUGCUGCCACAGACAAAGGCAAUAGUGAACAGUCUGAAAUGUCAACUUUUGUAACAACAAAGCAAGAUACUCCUGGCAAAGUAACGAAUUUUGAAAUCAAAAGACCGACUGUGAUACUAACGACAAUGGAAGUUUCCUAGAGUAUACCUUUAUUUAGAGAAAGAAAUGGUAUCAUUAAGGAGUAUAAAAUAAGCCAUAACAUUAGUGGGACAACACAAAAGGAAGUUAUUGUUGCAGAUUCCGAUGUUUUCCAAAAAUUGUAUUACAUUACACCAGGUAGACAUUAUCAGGUUGAGAUAUAUGCUGUAAAUUCACUUAACCAAGAAGGAGAAAAACAGCUGACGAUAUAUUACGCGUCAUCAAAAC